GACUUCCUAUUGGGAGGGGCAAGGCAGGGGCAGACCUGGAAUCCCUUGAUGAGCAUCUCGUCAGAUUAACAGUUCAAAGACGUUCAGAGGGAGGGGGCAGUGAAGCUUCGUAGGAGGGAAGAACUCUGCAGAGUUAGAAACAAAGUUCACAUCCCCUUCAUUUCCCUGCCUCUACAUGGGAAAAAAUGGACUUUGAUCCCCUGAAACCGGCUUCCUGACUGCUUAUCAGGAACAGAGAGCGUGAUAGGUGAGGCUCUUCCAGCUUGUAAACCUCUCCACACCACUGCUGAAGGUGGCUUCUGGGAAGCUGCAGACAACCCCUGUGAAAGGAUGGUUCGAAUCCAAAGGGGUCAUGACCCACAGGUUGUGAACUGCUGGUCUAGAGGUAACAUUUGGAGUGAGAACACUGGUUCUUCUGACUGGCAGCUAUACGGACAGAGAGUCACCAUGUGAGCCCAGGAUGAGGACGCCAAGG
Molecule: long non-coding RNA, 475 nt
Filed under: Cricetulus griseus (Chinese hamster)
Lineage: Eukaryota; Metazoa; Chordata; Mammalia; Rodentia; Cricetidae
Description: lncRNA (ENSCGRG00015029018.1)
Source: RNAcentral